This 94-nucleotide microRNA precursor is filed under the name Ochotona princeps (American pika). RNAcentral's name for it is "miRNA (ENSOPRG00000017933.1)". The stretch from base 14 to 86 matches the Rfam family "mir-551 microRNA precursor family". Lineage: Eukaryota; Metazoa; Chordata; Mammalia; Lagomorpha; Ochotonidae. The record is from RNAcentral.
AGAUGAACUCUCGUGGCCCGUGAAAUCAAGCGUGGGUGAGACCUGGUGCAGAAGGGAAGGCGACCCAUACUUGGUUUCAGAGGCUGUGAGGAAA